AUGAACGCUGGCGGCGUGCCUAAUACAUGCAAGUCGAACGGGGAGUAGCAAUACUCUUAGUGGCGAACGGGUGAGUAACGCGUUGGUACCUGCCCCGAAGCGGGGGAUAACGGACCGAAAGGUCCGCUAAUACCCCAUGUGCUCGGUAACGAGUAAAGGUGAAAACCACUUUGGGAGGGGCCUGCGUCCCAUCAGCUAGUUGGUAAGGUAACGGCUUACCAAGGCGAUGACGGGUAGGGGACCUGAGAGGGUGGCCCCCCACAAUGGAACUGAAACACGGUCCAUACACCUACGGGUGGCAGCAGUAGGGAAUAUUGGUAAUGGGCGCAAGCCGGAACCAGCAACGCCGCGUGUGCGAUGACGGCCUUCGGGUUGUAAAGCACUUUUGACUGGGACGAGGAAGGACGGUACCGGUCGAAUCAGCCUCGGCUAACUACGUG
RNAcentral lists this ribosomal RNA (440 nucleotides) under uncultured bacterium. Its description in RNAcentral is "partial 16S ribosomal RNA". It matches the Rfam family "Bacterial small subunit ribosomal RNA", at positions 29 to 507 of the family's 1533-position model. The record is from RNAcentral.